RNAcentral lists this ribosomal RNA (253 nucleotides) under uncultured bacterium. Its description in RNAcentral is "partial 16S ribosomal RNA". It matches the Rfam family "Bacterial small subunit ribosomal RNA", at positions 524 to 776 of the family's 1533-position model. The record is from RNAcentral.
UACGUAGGAUGCUAGCGUUGUCCGGAUUUACUGGGCGUAAAGAGCGCGCAGGCGGUCGUUCAAGUCGCGUGUGAAAGCCCCCGGCUCAACUGGGGAGGGUCACGCGAUACUGAUCGACUCGAAGGCAGGAGAGGGAAGUGGAAUUCCCGGUGUAGUGGUGAAAUGCGUAGAUAUCGGGAGGAACACCAGUGGCGAAGGCGACUUCCUGGCCUGUUCUUGACGCUGAGGCGCGAAAGCUAGGGGAGCAAACGGG